GAGUAUGUGGCUUAUUUGACUCAACGCGGAAAAGCUUAUCUGGUCCGGACGCAGUGAGGAUUGACAGACAGUUUCAGGAGUGGUUCUUGGUAAACAAUUGAGAGAGUUGAAGUUCUUUCAUGAUCUUGUGAGAGGUGGUGCAUGGCCGUUCUUAGUUCGUGUAGUGAUAUGUCUGCCUAAUCGCGUCACGAUAACCUAUUGGUCGACAACCCAAUUAUCACAACUGCAGCAUAACUCCCCUUGGGUGGGCGAGGCUCUGUGUAGGAUAGACCUCUGAACAGUACGCAACGAACGCGAUCGUAAUCCCUUGUUGAGUGGCCAUCCUGUAAGCUGCUGGAUUAGGAACCCAGUGGUAUUAUCUCAGCCACAGAUUUUCUGGUUGUAAUGGGCCAGUUUUGAAACUCGGGGAACAUCUGUGACUUUCUUUCUUAACGCAGAGGAAGGUUAUGGCAAUAACAGG
This 460-nucleotide ribosomal RNA is filed under the name Globigerina bulloides. RNAcentral's name for it is "bacterial SSU rRNA". It matches the Rfam family "Eukaryotic small subunit ribosomal RNA", at positions 1179 to 1460 of the family's 1831-position model. The record is from RNAcentral. Lineage: Eukaryota; Foraminifera; Rotaliida; Globigerinidae.